GGGCCGGUAGUCUAGCUGGUAGGACGCCGCCCUCACGCGGCGGAGGUCGCCGGUUCAAGUCCGGCCCGGCCCACCA
Molecule: transfer RNA, 76 nt
Filed under: Candidatus Bathyarchaeota archaeon
Lineage: Archaea; Thermoproteati; Candidatus Bathyarchaeota
Also listed under: 1 other name
Description: tRNA-Val
Rfam family: tRNA
About the family: Transfer RNA (tRNA) molecules are approximately 80 nucleotides in length. Their secondary structure includes four short double-helical elements and three loops (D, anti-codon, and T loops). Further hydrogen bonds mediate the characteristic L-shaped molecular structure. tRNAs have two regions of fundamental functional importance: the anti-codon, which is responsible for specific mRNA codon recognition, and the 3' end, to which the tRNAs corresponding amino acid is attached (by aminoacyl-tRNA synthetases). tRNAs cope with the degeneracy of the genetic code in two manners: having more than one tRNA (with a specific anti-codon) for a particular amino acid; and 'wobble' base-pairing, i.e. permitting non-standard base-pairing at the 3rd anti-codon position.
Source: RNAcentral